UUGUAUGUGAAUUUCAAUGCAUUUUAAGGUUGCAUUUUAAAUGUUUCCUUAUUGCAGCUUGACAGUGUGCAUAAUUAUCAGCUUUUACUGUAUGGAAAGAGGGGUUCAAAUAUACCGCAUCUUUUCCUGAGGAAAAAAAUCAUGCAUACAGCUUGCGUGCAUAAUCAAGAAAUUUAAUUUGAUGGAAAAAUGAGUUCAGAUAUACUGCAAAACAUCUCCUUUUGCGAAAGAGAGAAAAAGGUAAUGCAUGCAAGUUUGAAAGAACAAAAUGCUUGACAGUGUGCAUAAUCAUCAAAUUUCAUUGGAGGAGUUCAAAUAUAUGGCA
This is a long non-coding RNA of Sinocyclocheilus rhinocerous, 325 nucleotides long. RefSeq lists it as uncharacterized. The transcript has 3 exons. The record is from RefSeq and is a predicted model, not a curated record. NCBI's taxonomy places the organism in Eukaryota, Metazoa, Chordata, Actinopteri, Cypriniformes, Cyprinidae.